This 3224-nucleotide unclassified non-coding RNA is filed under the name Leishmania donovani. RNAcentral's name for it is "gene:LdHU3.21.2630(CDS-product:hypothetical_prote in_conserved)". Lineage: Eukaryota; Euglenozoa; Kinetoplastea; Trypanosomatida; Trypanosomatidae. The record is from RNAcentral.
GAGGAGUUUGUGCUAUCCUCCGGAGAGGGACCGUUUGCCGUCACCAUCAAACGUUUUGCUACGGCAGACUCCUCCUCCUCCUCCUCCUCCUCCUCCGGCGAUGGCGCGGAAGCGCCUCAUCCAACCAGCCGCCCUCGAUUCGGCAGCGGGAGCAACAUCGACUCCUCCGGUCUUCCAGAUGAUAGUGGCGACUCGCACAAUCUGUCAUCUUACAUGGGGUUGCCAUCAAACCUUGCUCCCGCGAAUGCUGAAUACGCGCCACGGGUCGAAAGCGGCGCACCUCUUGUUGGGGAUGUGCUAAACGGGACCGCUACAGAUGUGGUCGCUAAACAGCGAGGACUGCAACUGCAACGCUUCUCCACAGUGGACAGCAGUGCAAGAGAUGAGCGUUCGAUGCCUCAUGAGUCGUCUCGCUCGUCGUCCUCCGCUGAUUUGGCACCUUUCCGUCAACGCGGCGGUGGCGCGACGGCGGCCGCCGGCGCCCAACAUCGACUUUCCCAAGAGCCACUUGUUCACGCACCUGCCGCAUCCCUAGCGAGGGAAACGCCUCCUCGAGGCCGCUCUGCCGCUGGCGAAGACGCUGCGGCGCCUUCUCCAAAAGAGAUGGACGACGCGACGGUGGCAGGAGACUCUUCGAGGCGGCGAUUGCCUCAGUCUCGCAGUCAUGUUGCACCGGUCACACAGCCGUGUGCCGGCAGUCCUUCUUCUUCUGCUGUCGUGGCUACUGUGCCCGAGUCGAAACCCGCCCCUGUGGCGGCACAGUCAUUGACGCUCCCUGAGGCAUGCAAACGCUUCGGCCACGGGCACGAUGGUGCCGCAGCAUGUGGAGCUUUUACUCGAGCGCCAAAGAAGUCGAGACCAGCACCGGCAGCGGCGGAGGUUCAGCAGCCGCAGUCGCAGCGGCAGUCGGGGGAUGCUGAGCCGAGGAGCCCAUCGUCGGGCGGGGCCCACACAAGGGUGCCUCAGUGGACGUGCCAUAUGAAAAAGAAGGAUGGCCAGUACGUCACUUGCGUCCGCGUGACAAACCCUACGGCUCUCUAUGACAGAGGCAUCAACGGGCUUCGAAGAGCGUCGGCCAAGCGGGAGGCGAUGCGUGCGAAGUUGGAGGAGGCCGCCCUGGCCGAGGCGACGUUUCACCCCACUAUCUCUCCUCGCGUCCGCGCGCUCAAGCGCAGCGGCGACAGCGCCGGCGCUGCCCACGAUUCCUCUGCGCAGCUUCGGUACCGCCUCCAGCUUCUAGAGCUGCCGGAUGAGCCGGCACAUGCGGCGCACCGCCACACCCCUCGACUUUCACACACGUCGGAGAUGAUCGUCCGAGCGUGCCGCGGGCGCCGCGGUGCCGAGCCACCCCCGGAAGAGCGGCUGUACCGAGACUACUUCUACCGGCAGCAGGCUAUCGAAGAGGCGCGGCUGGUGACGGCGUCACCGGCGGUGGUGCGGAGCAAGCGCCACAUCGAUGCGCACAUCGCAGAGCUCUAUUCGUUCGAGCAGCAGCGGCAACGCGCCAUCGCGGCGGCUCGCGACGCACUCCUGUCAGCUUCUUCGGAGGCGCACCGUCGCCUCUGCGUGGACCCUCGAGCGCUGGUGGAGCGCCUGACAAAGCCGCGCUCUCCGUCGCAGCAGCGCAGCGCCGCUGCUCAGCUGGAGAAAGACCCGUGCCCCUUCCACCCGCAGACAAGCGCAAGCUCCGCGGAGCUGGUUCAUCAAGCCCGCCUGCGUGGUCUACACCGGUGGGUGCGCUACUUCUGCGACGCCGACAUUCUUUCGAUGGCCGUGCUGUCUACGUUUCAGGGUCAAGCCGCCCAAGAGGCGGCGACGCUGUCCGCCGUGCUACGGCGACACAGCCCCACCAAAACUGAGUGGAGCGUCGAAGAACUCGCUGACGCCUUUGUCAAUGAUGCGGGGGACAAUUCCUUUAUCGCGGAGCUGUGGCGUCGUCGUCCCCCUAUCGGUGAGGCGUCCGCCGCACUGGGCGAGCUGACACACCGUCCUUGCCUCAACCCCAAGAGUGCCAUGAUCGUGGACAAGAUGAAUGCAGAGCACCGGGGCGGACCGACACACGACCGCCUGUUUCUCAACGCGAGGGCGAAGCAGCUGUCCCAGAGGCAGCAGGAGCUGGAGGAGGAGCAGGCCUCUCUCGAGGACAAGCAGCGCGAACAGAAGCGGCGGCAGCGCCUGCAAGCCGCCUGGCGGGCACAGGAGGCUCAACGGCUUGAGGCGUAUCGGGCGGAAAAAGCGGAGGAGCGCCGCAAAAGCGCAGCCGCGGAAGCAUCCGCAGCAGAGGAGCGGCUACAUCCUUGCACCACUUCUUGCUCUCGCCAACUUUUUAUGCCCUCAUCGUCUCCUCAGCUUCGCAGCGGCGGGCGUGCCAGCGUGCCGCCGUCUGCGUCGCCGAGGCAGUCUAGUGCUGCCGCAACGGAUGCUGUUAUUCUCAAACCACGCUCUUACACCCCGUCGAUGCCAACAGCUUCAUCCACUCGGCCGCCAGAGGUCUCGCGCGUCAGGGGAAGCAACACCGACAACACUACGACAGCCAGAAACAAAGGUAGCGGUGGCAACGGCAGGGGCUCUGGCUGCCCCUCUCCUGCUUUCCAUCCGACGACAACUUCAGCGCAGGCUGCUCCAGCGGCACAGUGCUUGACGAGCAGUAUUCCCCGAAACGUCGAGGACUGGCCGGUGGCUAACAAGCAGGAACUAGACAGAGCUGCCGAGGCUCUUCGCGAUCUUCUCGUGGACCCGGCACGCUCCUGCAGGGCAUCUCCGCAGGGAUCCGCUGCCUCAUCACAGCGCUCCCUUUCGGCUGCUACAUGCUUCACCCCCUGCGACGUGAAUCGCCCACUCGACAGUCAGUGCAAGUUGCACGCACCCUCCCUCGAUGUCUUGCUCGUGUGCGCUCAGCUGCGAGAUUCCCGAGCGUUCCCUGCCGGCGAGCGGGAGAGACUGGACAGGGCCCAAAAGCGGCAACUGCGCGAGCUCGGGCGCCUCCUCUACAGCCGCUACAUGUCGAGAGUACACGGCAAAAUUAGCACGUGAGAGAAAGUGGGAGCGGUAGAUAUUAGAAGGCGCAUUAUUGGGAGGAAGGGAGGUAGGGGGGCAGCAAGGGUAGUCACUGCAACGCACGUACACCUGCACAUGCGCCAACCCCCCUUCUUCGUUAUACAGACACGUGACACAUGGCUUCUCCAUGCGCCGUGAUUGCCUCCUUUUUUUUUGCUUUACUUUUC